UACGUAGGGUGCAAGCGUUGUCCGGAAUUAUUGGGCGUAAAGAGCUCGUAGGCGGUUCGUCGCGUCGGCUGUGAAAUCCCGAGGCUCAACCUCGGGUCUGCAGUCGAUACGGGCGGACUGGAGUUCGGCAGGGGAGACUGGAAUUCCUGGUGUAGCGGUGAAAUGCGCAGAUAUCAGGAGGAACACCGGUGGCGAAGGCGGGUCUCUGGGCCGAUACUGACGCUGAGGAGCGAAAGCAUGGGUAGCGAACAGG
This 253-nucleotide ribosomal RNA is filed under the name uncultured bacterium. Its description in RNAcentral is "partial 16S ribosomal RNA". It matches the Rfam family "Bacterial small subunit ribosomal RNA", at positions 524 to 776 of the family's 1533-position model. The record is from RNAcentral.